Long non-coding RNA from Erpetoichthys calabaricus (reedfish), 627 nucleotides. RefSeq lists it as uncharacterized. The transcript is spliced from 2 exons. The record is from RefSeq and is a predicted model, not a curated record. NCBI's taxonomy places the organism in Eukaryota, Metazoa, Chordata, Cladistia, Polypteriformes, Polypteridae.
UCUUGGCUCUGUCGCUCCAUGCUCUGUCUGACCUCCAUCAGUUCACCUUCCAGUCUGUUGAUUACAUCUUGUAGUUGGAGGAGCUGUGCCCCAUACCUGGCUUCAGUCUCAGCCAAAGUAUUUUCAAGAGCUGCUUUCUUUGAAGCAUCAACAAAAAAGAAAUAAUAAGUACUCAGCGUGGUCCUGUACCAAAUAGUGAAAGUAGUGAAGUUUAAGAUUUGCAUUCCCAGAAUGCAAUGCACCAGACACUGAGUGACACUGAAUAUGUUGAGAUAUAGCUGCAAACAAUACCUUUGUGCCCCGUAUCGGUUCUCAGUUUCAGCAAGAGUGUUUUCAAGUGCUGCUUUCUGUGAAGCAUCAACAAAGCAAAAAUGAUAAGUGGUUGGCCUGUUUUUGUACCAAAAAUUGAUAGGACCAAAGUUUAAUUGCAUUCUCAUACGUGAACUGUACCAGAGUCUUUGACUUAGUGACACCAGUUAUGUCUAGGUAAAGCUGCAGACAGUUUUAUUUGUGCCCUUCCUUAGAAGGCAAAUCCACCUACCAUGGUAAGAAGUGCUUGUAGUUCAAGCUCCAGACCCUGGACAGUCUUCUUCAGGUCACUGAUCUCUGUCUUUGAUGACUGAAGGG